RNAcentral lists this ribosomal RNA (508 nucleotides) under uncultured bacterium. Its description in RNAcentral is "partial 16S ribosomal RNA". It matches the Rfam family "Bacterial small subunit ribosomal RNA", at positions 28 to 523 of the family's 1533-position model. The record is from RNAcentral.
GAUGAACGCUAGCUACAGGCUUAACACAUGCAAGUCGAGGGGAAACGACAUCGAAAGCUUGCUUUUGAUGGGCGUCGACCGGCGCACGGGUGAGUAACGCGUAUCCAACCUGCCCACCACUUGGGGAUAACCUUGCGAAAGUAAGACUAAUACCCAAUGAUAUCUCUAGAAGACAUCUGAAAGAGAUUAAAGAUUUAUCGGUGAUGGUUGGGGAUGCGUCUGAUUAGCUUGUUGGCGGGGUAACGGCCCACCAAGGCUACGAUCAGUAGGGGUUCUGGGAGGAAGGUCCCCCACAUUGGAACUGAGACACGGUCCAAACUCCUACGGGAGGCAGCAGUGAGGAAUAUUGGUCAAUGGGCGAGAGCCUGAACCAGCCAAGUAGCGUGCAGGAUGACGGCCCUAUGGGUUGUAAACUGCUUUUAUAAGGGAAUAAAGUGAGCCUCGUGAGGCUUUUUGCAUGUACCUUAUGAAUAAGGACCGGCUAAUUCCGUGCCAGCCGCCGCCGUAA